Molecule: ribosomal RNA, 469 nt
Filed under: Bacillus cereus
Lineage: Bacteria; Bacillati; Bacillota; Bacilli; Caryophanales; Bacillaceae
Description: bacterial SSU rRNA
Rfam family: Bacterial small subunit ribosomal RNA
Source: RNAcentral
GCGUAAGCGCGCGCAGGUGGUUUCUUAAGUCUGAUGUGAAAGCCCACGGCUCAACCGUGGAGGGUCAUUGGAAACUGGGAGACUUGAGUGCAGAAGAGGAAAGUGGAAUUCCAUGUGUAGCGGUGAAAUGCGUAGAGAUAUGGAGGAACACCAGUGGCGAAGGCGACUUUCUGGUCUGUAACUGACACUGAGGCGCGAAAGCGUGGGGAGCAAACAGGAUUAGAUACCCUGGUAGUCCACGCCGUAAACGAUGAGUGCUAAGUGUUAGAGGGUUUCCGCCCUUUAGUGCUGAAGUUAACGCAUUAAGCACUCCGCCUGGGGAGUACGGCCGCAAGGCUGAAACUCAAAGGAAUUGACGGGGGCCCGCACAAGCGGUGGAGCAUGUGGUUUAAUUCGAAUCAUCGCCAAGAACCUUACCAGGUCUUGACAUCCUCUGAGGACCCUAGAGAUACGCCUUCUCCUUCGGAAG